GAUGAACGCUGGCGGCGUGCCUAAUACAUGCAAGUCGAACGAAACUUCUUUAUCACCGAGUGCUUGCACUCACCGAUAAAGAGUUGAGUGGCGAACGGGUGAGUAACACGUGGGCAACCUGCCCAAAAGAGGGGGAUAACACUUGGAAACAGGUGCUAAUACCGCAUAACCAUAGUUACCGCAUGGUAACUAUGUAAAAGGUGGCUAUACUACCGCUUUUGGAUGGGCCCGCGGCGCAUUAGCUAGUUGGUAGGGUAAAGGCUUACCAAGGCAAUGAUGCGUAGCCGAAUUGAGAGGUUGAUCGGCCACAUUGGGACUGAGACACGGCCCAAACUCCUACGGGAGGCAGCAGUAGGGAAUCUUCCACAAUGGGCGAAAGCCUGAUGGAGCAACGCCGCGUGGGUGAAGAAGGUCUUCGGAUCGUAAAACCCUGUUGUUAGAGAAGAAAGUGCGUGGGAGUAACUGUUCACGUUUCGACGGUAUCUAACCAGAAAGCCACGGCUAACUACGUG
RNAcentral lists this ribosomal RNA (512 nucleotides) under uncultured bacterium. RNAcentral describes it as "partial 16S ribosomal RNA". It matches the Rfam family "Bacterial small subunit ribosomal RNA", at positions 28 to 507 of the family's 1533-position model. The record is from RNAcentral.